This 439-nucleotide ribosomal RNA is filed under the name uncultured bacterium. Its description in RNAcentral is "bacterial SSU rRNA". It matches the Rfam family "Bacterial small subunit ribosomal RNA", at positions 28 to 515 of the family's 1533-position model. The record is from RNAcentral.
GAUGAACGCUGGCGGCGUGCUUAACACAUGCAAGUCGAACGAACCUUCGGGUUAGUGGCGGACGGGUGAGUAACGCGUGAGAAUCUGCCCUCAGGAGGGGGACAACAGCUGGAAACGGCUGCUAAUACCCCAUAUGCCGCGAGGUGAAAUGAAUUUCGCCUGAGGAUGAGCUCGCGUCUGAUUAGCUAGUUGGUGUAGGUAAUGGCUCACCAAGGCAUCGAUCAGUAGCUGGUCUGAGAGGGUGAUCAGCCACAUUGGGACUGAGACACGGCCCAAACUCCUACGGGAGGCAGCAGUGGGGAAUCUUGCACAAUGGAGGAAACUCUGAUGCAGCGAUGCCGCGUGAGUGAAGAAGGCCUUUGGGUUGUAAAGCUCUUUCGUCGGGGAAGAAAAUGACUGUACCCGAAUAAGAAGGUCCGGCUAACUUCGUGCCAAAAGG